CCUACGGGUGGCAGCAGUGGGGAAUAUUGCACAAUGGGGGGAACCCUGAUGCAGCGACGCCGCGUGAGUGAAGAAGUAUCUCUGUACUUACAGCUCUAUCAGCAGGGAAGCAAAUGACGGUACCUGACCAAGGAGCCCCGGCUAACUAAGUGACAGCAGCCGCUGUCAUCAGGCGGGGGCAAGCGUUAUCCGGGUUUACUGGGUGGAAAGGGGGCGUUAACGGGAUCACAAGUUUGGAGUGAAAUCCCUGGGCUUAAACCCGGAACUGCUGUGGCAACUGUGCGGCUGGAGUGGAGGAGGGGUAAGCGGAAUUCCUGGUGUAGCGGUGAAAUGCGUAGAUAUUAGGAGGAACACCGGUGGCGAAGGCGGCUUACUGGACUGUAACUGACGUUGAGGCUCGAAAGCGUGGGGAGCAAACAGGAUUAGAUACCCGUGUAGUC
RNAcentral lists this ribosomal RNA (440 nucleotides) under uncultured bacterium. RNAcentral describes it as "partial 16S ribosomal RNA". It matches the Rfam family "Bacterial small subunit ribosomal RNA", at positions 338 to 795 of the family's 1533-position model. The record is from RNAcentral.